GGAUGUGAAUUAGACACUCUGGUAUGGCAUCUGUCCUUCCAUCCUCAUCACCAGGAUCAAAUCAGCUGAUCUGACUGCCUAGGUGGCUGUUAUCUUUCUCCUUACUUCUCCACAUGUGUCCUUCCUAGAAUGCAUGCUUGGUGAAAGAGUUUGAUCUUCUCUACAGAGUAGGAUUGAUCUUUGGUCAAGUGUACACAAGUAACAGUGCACCUCUGCUAGAAGCUCUAAAUGAGCCCCUCAAAGUAGAUCAGGAAGGUUCCAUCCCUCUGGGCUAACAAGUGUAGCACCCAGCUUUCAAAACAGUGAAAACUCUUGGAGUUAGUCAC
This 326-nucleotide small nuclear RNA is filed under the name Microtus ochrogaster (prairie vole). Its description in RNAcentral is "7SK RNA (ENSMOCG00000009160.1)". The stretch from base 1 to 293 matches the Rfam family "7SK RNA". From Rfam's summary of the family: 7SK was discovered as an abundant small nuclear RNA in the mid-70s but a possible function has only recently been suggested. Two independent studies have found that 7SK RNA binds the CDK9/cyclin T complex (known as elongation factor P-TEFb). The record is from RNAcentral. Lineage: Eukaryota; Metazoa; Chordata; Mammalia; Rodentia; Cricetidae.